RNAcentral lists this long non-coding RNA (4283 nucleotides) under Taeniopygia guttata (zebra finch). Its description in RNAcentral is "lncRNA (ENSTGUG00000022440.1)". Lineage: Eukaryota; Metazoa; Chordata; Aves; Passeriformes; Estrildidae. The record is from RNAcentral.
GUCACUUCACUGGUAGCCUUGCAGUCCCUCCAAGCUUGAUAUCAUCUGGAAAAUGAAAAAUGUGGUUUCCACUCAAUUGCUCCAUUGAUUAGAGUGUCAGUUGCUGGGUAGCCCUUCUGCAGAGCAGCAGUCAAUACCUCCUUCUCCUCCUCCUUUGACAGGGAAAAGCUGAUCAUAACUUUGAGAAUAAAAUUUUCCAAACACUUUUGCACUUAUUCCAUGGAUGUUUUAUCUAGACAAUUUUCCCUUCUUUGCUUGAAGGAACAUGAGCCUGUGUCAAAUAUUCUGUGUACACAAGACAUAAAAUAGCCACUGUUCCUCCUCUAGCUAUAAGGAUUGUUGCCCUAGCCCCAAAUGGUUUUUACUUCUCUUUCAGUUUUGAACGGCCGAUAUAUCACCAGACUGAGAAAAGGAAAUGAAACUAAACAGGGAAAAUCUUUGCUUCAAUCAGUAUAUUGCCUCCAACAUCUAAGUAAUGUGUUUAAGAAUACCGUACAAAGUCUAAGCUGACAAUUUGCUAUCCUUAUCCAAAGGUUUGCGAUAAUUCAUUGUUUACUAUAGAGAAAUUUGGGGAGUCGCUGUGCAUAAAGUGCUGGAGAGGUGACACUUAGCAGCAGGCUGAGCUGGUGGGGCACAAUUCACAGAAUAAAAAUAACCUGAGUAACUGUGCCCAGCUAACAGGCGAUAGCUGCUGGAGAUGAUAAUAACAGGUCAUGGCACAGCACCAGGAGACCUGAGAACACCUAAGGAGGAAAAAGUCCAGUGAGCUGGGCUCCAACAGAGUGUCCAGAAAACCUCCUAUUGUGGGAGCUCUCUGCUGUAUUUGGCAUUACCACAACUAGUCCUGGAGUAUCCCGCUACAGACCAGUGUGUGAAGUCCAAGAAGGAAGCUGAUGGCGAAAAGCUGAAGAAAAUUAAAAUGGAUGAGAAGACAAUAAAACCCAAGCAUUUCAGACCACACAGCUGAAAAAAAAGAGUGGUUAUUAGGUGUUUGGAUCACAGAUUAACUAUCUGCACAAACAGGAAACCAGCAGAGAUCUUGCAAAGAAAAGGUUUAUUGGUGCUGAAAACUGAAUCAAGACAAGUACACUUAAUGACAUAUUUAUCCAUUGAAAAUGUGUUUGUGCUGGGGUCUCCAUCAAUGGCAAUUGUGAAAACUGGACUAGUUUUCAAACUAGUUUGUUUAUCUACAAGUCGGGCUGUAGCUCAGGAGUCACAUGAGUCAUGUCCUGACUUUAGUUCUGUUCAUGUACAAACAGAUCAAAUGUCAUUACCACGUUUCAGUGUGGCUAAAAGUUGUUGUAUUGCUUUUCUCUAAAGUUUAAGAGAAUAGGUUGAAAGGCAGAGCAUCUCUGUAGAGGGAAUGCAUUUCCUGGAGACAAUUGCAUUUAAAGGAAGAUAGAGAGAAGGAAGAAUCAAAGCAAUCUGUGAGAUGAGUAGCACAUAGGGACACCCAUAGAUCCAGAGGAGGAACACAAAUGAUCAGGGGGGCUGGAACGCCUGUCCUGUGAAGUAAAAACUUUGAGAAUUGGGGUUGUUCAGCCUAGAGUAGAGAAGUCACUGGCAAGACCUUACUGCAGCCUUUCGAUUUAUAAAGGCAGCUUGUAAGACAGAGAAAAACAUUUUAUAAGGGCCUGUAGCGACACAACAAGGGGUUAUGGUUUCAAAUUGGAUGAGGGCAGAUUAAGGUGAGUUAUGAGGAAGUAAUUUUUUUGGAACAGGUUGCCCAGGGAAGUAGUGAAUGCCAAAUCCCUGGAAAUGCUCAAGGCCAGGUUUGACAGGCAUUUAUGAUUCUGUGUAAGUCAUAAUAUGGUUUCUGGGGAGCUGAUGUCAGAUGAUAGUACCACAUCCACAGAACAUUCACCUUUUCCUGUUUCUUCUGGUGCAAUAUUUUGAGCAUAGCACUUCAAAUUUUACUAUGCACUGUCAUGCAAAAUCAAUAAUAGGAAGCAUGUAAUUAAAAAAUAUGAUCUUUUCCAAACAUAAAUAGAGCUGCUUGGCUAUCUUAAGAACACUUACUAACAACAAUAGUGGAAAGUGUGAUGGCUAAAGGAUGAUAACCCCAGAGGGCAGAAGCUUUCUAAGAAGCCAUCUAAGAAUCUUUUUAACCAAAAAUACUGAGCAGUUUCUAAACAGCUUUUUAUUGAUUUUUCAGGAAAAAGAACGACUCUAACAUUAAGAUAUCUUACUUUGUUGAACCUAGUUAUUACCACUCCCUGUAACCCAGUAAGUAAGACAUACCUAAAAGGAAGGAUAUGAGAGUUCCAAAUCUUACUUCAGCAACUGUGAGUACCCGUUACAACCUAUGGAGCACCUUUGACAAGAUCAGAGCAGCCCUCCUGGGAUAUGCAAUAGCAUUGUGUUGGAGCUUCUAGGAGGGGAAGAGUGAGAGAAAUGCUUUCAAAUGCUGAAGGGCUUUGAAGGUGGGUUGGUUUUUUUCAUUAGAGUCAGCCACUGGAACAUUACAAAGGCCCACAGCCCCUUCACUAUUGUGAAUUGAUGGCCUCAUUCCUUAGAUUUUGUUACAUAUGACCCAUUCUGUUCAGUGACAAAAGAAUAAAAGAUGGCAUGGGGUUGUGGUUUUUUUGGGGUUUUUUUUCUGAUGGAUAUAAACCAAUGACUCUUCUGUACCUUUUUAGCUCUGAACCAACAAAUUGCUUGAUUUAUGCAGUUCUGCCUUUGGCAUUGUCAAGACAAAACAUAGCUGAGAGUUGCUAGAGAAGCCUCCGCUGGAGCAGUUUUUCGUCCCCAAAUGCCACAAAGCAGAUCCCGCAUCAAGAAGCUUUAACAGUCAGGGACCUUAUUUUCAUUCUUUGUGUUACACAACUGGGCUCCAAGUGCUCAUUUACUCACACAAAAUCAUGGAAAAAUGUUAAUUGCCUUUAGAAAAUUGUCUUUUGCCACUUUUUGACUAUCUCACCUUUUCCUCAUUCCUCCCCUUCCUUCCCUACAGCCCUCCUCCCACACUAAUUUUUGCAGCUUUAUGUGGGAUAGGAUACAUUUUAGGCUGUGACCAAGUGUGAGAGCUGCACAGAGCACAAGGUUUAGGAGAGGAUCCAUUUUCCAUCUUCUCGCAGGGAGCUAACUGCUGUCUUCAAGCCCAUGAGGCGUCCUCCCUUUCCAGCUACCACAGCUCAGACUGAGGUGAUAGGCACAAGGUGCAUUCUCUCCAUUCCUGACUUGCAAAUGAAAGCCAUGUUGUGCCGAACAUGAAAUGCAGACAGGUCUUUUACCAGUGCACUUCUGAGGAAGAGUUGCAAUGCAUGGCUUAGAUGAGCUAAAAAGCCACAAUGCAGGUACCCAGCAACUUGAAAAACUGUAGCAAGGGACAGGAAAGAGAUCAGUCUGUGUUGUAUAACUAUCUUUCUGUAAUAUUAAAGAUACCCAUUUUAUCUAGAAAUGGCCAAGACAUUUUUCUUAUUCUUUCAAAAUAUUGAGUGAAUUCACAAAUGACUUUAAAUAACCCAUUUUUAUUCAUUUUCUUUUUAUAAAAUAAACUUGUAUAGGAAAAAUUAUGAAUACCACAUUCAUUACAAUAGAAGCUUUUGGAAGACAUAGUCUGCCUGAUACAUUUCUUUACACCCGAAGAGUAUGAUAAGAUAAAUUCCAUUUUCAAGUUUCUGAAUUGUAUAACAGCCCCAUUAAUUUCAAUAGCUGAGUCACAGGAAGAAGAAUUUCCUGUAAACUCUUCUAGUUGUUUUGAUGUACAGUAGAAAAACUUAGUGGAGAUUAAAAUGCAAUCUGUGCAAUUUUUUUUUUAGUUUUUCAUUAUAUUCUGCAGGUUUGCUUUUCUUUUUCCUUAAUGCAUCAAAGUAUAAAAACCUUUGUAUCUGUGACAAACAACAGCAAACAAGUAAUGUUUGCAGAUAACUUUGAUUCCAGUCUAAAGCCACCUAACUUGGGCCACCUGUUUUAAGGCUGUGGGAACAGUCAAGUCCUUUCUAUGUUGCAUAAAAUACUCUAAAUAUAUUCACUGUCAGCAUGAAACAAGAAAUUAGGACGAAAAUUGUGAGAUUGUAUGUGUCUUUUUAUAUGAGCAAAAAGACAGCACUAAAAAAGUCUCAUAUUUGCAACUUCAUAGCCUAGCCCAGUGAGAAUACGAUUUCUCCUUGGAUGCAAAAUGGGCAUGAGGUGAACUACUACACAACUGUACUAGGAACAGUGUGAAGCCCAUGGCUGACAGUGACCUUGAGGAGAUGUAACUUCAUACAUCCCAUCUGUACACCUACUGGAGGUAGUGGAAUAUAUAAGGGAGCUCUGGUGUCUCCAGUUAGCCCCAGUGA